UCCUACGGGAGGCAGCAGUGGGGAAUAUUGGACAAUGGGCGCAAGCCUGAUCCAGCCAGCCGCGUGUGUGAAGAAGGCCUUCGGGUUGUAAAGCACUUUCAGUGGUGAGGAAGGCCUUGCAGUUAAUAGCUGCAAGGAUUGACGUUAGCCACAGAAGAAGCACCGGCUAACUCCGUGCCAGCAGCCGCGGUAAUACGGAGGGUGCGAGCGUUAAUCGGAAUUACUGGGCGUAAAGCGCACGUAGGCGGUUUGUUAAGCUAGAUGUGAAAGCCCAGGGCUCAACCUUGGAAUUGCAUUUAGAACUGGCAAGCUAGAGUUUUGAAGAGGGUGGUAGAAUUUCCUGUGUAGCGGUGAAAUGCGUAGAUAUAGGAAGGAAUACCAGUGGCGAAGGCGGCCACCUGGUCAAAAACUGACGCUGAGGAGCGAAAGCGUGGGGAGCAAACAGGAUUAGAUACCCUGGUAGUCCACGCCGUAAACGAUGUCAACUAGUUGUUCGUGUCUUUGAGACGUGAGUAACGCAGCUAACGCAUUAANUC
RNAcentral lists this ribosomal RNA (536 nucleotides) under uncultured bacterium. RNAcentral describes it as "bacterial SSU rRNA". It matches the Rfam family "Bacterial small subunit ribosomal RNA", at positions 337 to 866 of the family's 1533-position model. The record is from RNAcentral.